UGGGGUGUGGCUCAGUGGUGGAGCACUUGCCUAGCAUGUAGGAGGCCACAGGCUCAACCCCAGCACCGCAA
RNAcentral lists this transfer RNA (71 nucleotides) under Marmota marmota marmota (Alpine marmot). It matches the Rfam family "tRNA". From Rfam's summary of the family: Transfer RNA (tRNA) molecules are approximately 80 nucleotides in length. Their secondary structure includes four short double-helical elements and three loops (D, anti-codon, and T loops). RNAcentral also lists the same sequence under 1 other name. Lineage: Eukaryota; Metazoa; Chordata; Mammalia; Rodentia; Sciuridae. The record is from Rfam by way of RNAcentral.